AGGCCCUUCGGGGUACUCGAGCGGCGAACGGGUGAGUAACACGUGAGCAACCUGCCCUAGGCUUUGGGAUAACCCUCGGAAACGGGGGCUAAUACCGAAUAGGACCUCUGACCGCAUGGUUGGUGGUGGAAAGUUUUUCGGCCUGGGAUGGGCUCGCGGCCUAUCAGCUUGUUGGUGGGGUGAUGGCCUACCAAGGCGACGACGGGUAGCCGGCCUGAGAGGGCGACCGGCCACACUGGGACUGAGACACGGCCCAGACUCCUACGGGAGGCAGCAGUGGGGAAUAUUGCACAAUGGGCGGAAGCCUGAUGCAGCGACGCCGCGUGAGGGAUGACGGCCUUCGGGUUGUAAACCUCUUUCAGCAGGGACGAAGCGUAAGUGACGGUACCUGCAGAAGAAGCGCCGGCCAACUACGUGCCAGCAGCCGCGGUAAGACGUAGGGCGCGAGCGUUGUCCGGAUUUAUUGGGCGUAAAGAGCUCGUAGGCGGCUUGUCGCGUCGACUGUGAAAACCCGCAGCUCAACUGCGGGCCUGCAGUCGAUACGGGCAGGCUAGAGUUCGGUAGGGGAGACUGGAAUUCCUGGUGUAGCGGUGAAAUGCGCAGAUAUCAGGAGGAACACCGGUGGCGAAGGCGGGUCUCUGGGCCGAUACUGACGCUGAG
RNAcentral lists this ribosomal RNA (660 nucleotides) under Micromonospora sp. PC1023. RNAcentral's name for it is "bacterial SSU rRNA". It matches the Rfam family "Bacterial small subunit ribosomal RNA", at positions 72 to 750 of the family's 1533-position model. Lineage: Bacteria; Bacillati; Actinomycetota; Actinomycetes; Micromonosporales; Micromonosporaceae. The record is from RNAcentral.